RNAcentral lists this ribosomal RNA (460 nucleotides) under uncultured bacterium. RNAcentral's name for it is "partial 16S ribosomal RNA". It matches the Rfam family "Bacterial small subunit ribosomal RNA", at positions 338 to 795 of the family's 1533-position model. The record is from RNAcentral.
CCUACGGGGGGCAGCAGUGAGGAAUAUUGGUCAAUGGCCGUAAGGCUGAACCAGCCAAGUCGCGUGCAGGAAGAAGGCUCUAUGGGUUGUAAACUUCUUUUAUAGGGGAAUAAAGGUAUCCACGUGUGGAUAUUUGCAUGUACCCUAUGAAUAAGCAUCGGCUAACUCCGUGCCAGCAGCCGCGGUAAUACGGAGGAUGCGAGCGUUAUCCGGAUUUAUUGGGUUUAAAGGGAGCGUAGGUUGUUUUUUAAGUCAGCGGUGAAAGUUUGUGGCUCAACCAUAAAAUUGCCGUUGAAACUGGCAGACUUGAGUGUGUUUGAGGUAGGCGGAAUGCGUGGUGUAGCGGUGAAAUGCAUAGAUAUCACGCAGAACUCCGAUUGCGAAGGCAGCUUACUAAGCCAUAACUGACACUGAAGCACGAAAGCGUGGGGAUCAAACAGGAUUAGAUACCCUUGUAGUC